RNAcentral lists this ribosomal RNA (492 nucleotides) under uncultured bacterium. Its description in RNAcentral is "partial 16S ribosomal RNA". It matches the Rfam family "Bacterial small subunit ribosomal RNA", at positions 29 to 507 of the family's 1533-position model. The record is from RNAcentral.
AGUGAACGCUGGCGGUAGGCCUAACACAUGCAAGUCGAACGGCAGCACAGUAAGAGCUUGCCCUUACGGGUGGCGAGUGGCGGACGGGUGAGGAAUACAUCGGAAUCUACUUUUUCGUGGGGGAUAACGUAGGGAAACUUACGCUAAUACCGCAUACGACCUACGGGUGAAAGCAGGGGAUCUUCGUACCUUGCGCGAUUGAAUGAGCCGAUGUCGGAUUAGCUAGUUGGCGGGGUAAAGGCCCACCAAGGCGACGAUCCGUAGCUGGUCUGAGAGGAUGAUCAGCCACACUGGAACUGAGACACGGUCCAGACUCCUACGGGAGGCAGCAGUGGGGAAUAUUGGACAAUGGGCGCAAGCCUGAUCCAGCCAUACCGCGUGGGUGAAGAAGGCCUUCGGGUUGUAAAGCCCUUUUGUUGGGAAAGAAAAGCAGCAGGUUAAUACCCCGCUGUUCUGACGGUACCCAAAGAAUAAGCACCGGCUAACUUCGUG